RNAcentral lists this ribosomal RNA (584 nucleotides) under Adelie penguin guano bacterium 242. Its description in RNAcentral is "bacterial SSU rRNA". It matches the Rfam family "Bacterial small subunit ribosomal RNA", at positions 93 to 686 of the family's 1533-position model. The record is from RNAcentral.
UAGUGGCCAACGGGUGAGUAACACGUGAGUAACCUGCCCUUAACUCUGGGAUAAGCCUUGGAAACGGGGUCUAAUACUGGAUAUUGACUUUUCACCGCAUGGUGUUUGGUUGAAAGAUUUAUUGGUUUUGGAUGGACUCGCGGCCUAUCAGCUUGUUGGUGAGGUAAUGGCUCACCAAGGCGACGACGGGUAGCCGGCCUGAGAGGGUGACCGGCCACACUGGGACUGAGACACGGCCCAGACUCCUACGGGAGGCAGCAGUGGGGAAUAUUGCACAAUGGGCGAAAGCCUGAUGCAGCGACGCCGCGUGAGGGAUGACGGCCUUCGGGUUGUAAACCUCUUUCAGUAGGGAACAAGGCUAGUCGUUGACUGGUUGAGGGUACUUGCAGAAGAAGCGCCGGCUAACUACGUGCCAGCAGCCGCGGUAAUACGUAGGGCGCAAGCGUUAUCCGGAAUUAUUGGGCGUAGAAAGCUCCUAGGCGGUUUGUCGCGUCUGCCGUGAAAGUCCGGGGGUCAACCCGGAUCUCCGUGGGUACGGGCAGCUAGAUUAUGUAGGGAGACUGAAUUCUUGUAUAGCGGUGUGA